UACAGAGGUGGCAAGCGUUGUUCGGAAUUACUGGGCGUAAAGGGCGCGUAGGCGGCCUACUAAGUCAGACGUGAAAUCCCCCGGCUUAACCUGGGAACUGCGUCUGAUACUGGAAGGCUUGAGUAUGGGAGAGGGAUGUAGAAUUCCAGGUGUAGCGGUGAAAUGCGUAGAUAUCUGGAGGAAUACCGGUGGCGAAGGCGGCAUCCUCGACCAUUACUGACGCUGAGGCGCGAAAGCUAGGGGAGCAAACGGG
This 253-nucleotide ribosomal RNA is filed under the name uncultured bacterium. RNAcentral's name for it is "partial 16S ribosomal RNA". It matches the Rfam family "Bacterial small subunit ribosomal RNA", at positions 524 to 776 of the family's 1533-position model. The record is from RNAcentral.